AGUGAACGCUGGCGGUAGGCCUAACACAUGCAAGUCGAACGGCAGCACAGUAAGAGCUUGCUCUUACGGGUGGCGAGUGGCGGACGGGUGAGGAAUACAUCGGAAUCUACUUUUUCGUGGGGGAUAACGUAGGGAAACUUACGCUAAUACCGCAUACGACCUACGGGUGAAAGCAGGGGAUCUUCGGACCCUGCGCGAUUGAAUGAGCCGAUGUCGGAUUAGCUAGUUGGCGGGGUAAAGGCCCACCAAGGCGACGAUCCGUAGCUGGUCUGAGAGGAUGAUCAGCCACACGGGAACUGAGACACGGUCCAGACUCCGACGGGAGGCAGCAGUGGGGAAUAUUGGACAAUGGGCGCAAGCCUGAUCCAGCCAUACCGCGUGGGUGAAGAAGGCCUUCGGGUUGUAAAGCCCUUUUGUUGGGAAAGAAAAGCAGCAGGUUAAUACCCCGCUGUUCUGACGGUACCCAAAGAAUAAGCACCGGCUAACUUCGUG
Molecule: ribosomal RNA, 492 nt
Filed under: uncultured bacterium
Lineage: Bacteria
Description: partial 16S ribosomal RNA
Rfam family: Bacterial small subunit ribosomal RNA
Source: RNAcentral